CACCCGGUGCCCCCUUCCCCUGCCCACCAUGAGUCCUCAGCCUCACGCCUUCGCCCUCCUCCUCCUCCUCCUGGCCGCCGUCCCAGGGCUGCGGGCGGCCGAGACGUUGGACGAGUCCGGAGGGGGCCUCGUGAAGCCCGGGGGGUCCCUGACCCUGGUCUGCAAGGCCUCCGGCUUCACCUUCGGCGACUACUACAUGGGAUGGAUGCGACAGGCACCUGGGAAGGCGCUCGAAUACGUCGCGAGUAUUUACAGCGAUGGUAGUUACACAGACUACGCGUCGGCGGUGAAGGGACGCUUCACCAUCUCCAGGAACAACGGGCAGAGCACGCUCACCCUGCAGAUGAACAGCCUCAAGGCCGAGGACACUGCCACCUACUACUGCGCGAAAGAAGCUGGUAGUGGUUGGUGUGGUGGUAGUGCUGGUGGUGUUGAUGGCUGAC
Non-coding RNA from Cygnus olor (mute swan), 443 nucleotides. NCBI's taxonomy places the organism in Eukaryota, Metazoa, Chordata, Aves, Anseriformes, Anatidae. The record is from the annotation of a RefSeq genome assembly.